This is a small nuclear RNA of Sarcophilus harrisii (Tasmanian devil), 107 nucleotides long. Lineage: Eukaryota; Metazoa; Chordata; Mammalia; Dasyuromorphia; Dasyuridae. The record is from Ensembl.
GUGCUUGAUUCAACGGCACAUAUUCUAAAAUUGGAAUGAUACAGAGAAGAUUAACGUGGCUCUUGCAUAAGGAUGAUACACAAAGUCAUGAAGUGAAGAAUACAAAA